Long non-coding RNA from Cynoglossus semilaevis (tongue sole), 184 nucleotides. RefSeq lists it as uncharacterized. The transcript is spliced from 2 exons. Lineage: Eukaryota; Metazoa; Chordata; Actinopteri; Pleuronectiformes; Cynoglossidae. The record is from RefSeq and is a predicted model, not a curated record.
GAAGAACAAGAAAGAAGAAGAAGGUAGAUUAGUUUGUUUCUGUGGGCCGUAGAUGGUAUAAUGUAGGUACAUUACCGGGAACCUCUGUGAACAAACGGUAAGGGGGGUGUCAAACAUACGGCUCGCCGGCCAAUAUUGGCCCACUUAGGGUUUCAAUCCGGCCCACUUGAUGAAUUUUUAAAUU